CCUACGGGAGGCAGCAGUGGGGAAUAUUGGACAAUGGGGGCAACCCUGAUCCAGCCAUGCCGCGUGAGUGAUGAAGGCCCUAGGGUUGUAAAGCUCUUUUGUGCGGGAAGAUAAUGACGGUACCGCAAGAAUAAGCCCCGGCUAACUUCGUGCCAGCACCGCGGUAAU
This 168-nucleotide ribosomal RNA is filed under the name uncultured Alphaproteobacteria bacterium. Its description in RNAcentral is "partial 16S ribosomal RNA". It matches the Rfam family "Bacterial small subunit ribosomal RNA", at positions 338 to 524 of the family's 1533-position model. The record is from RNAcentral. Lineage: Bacteria; Pseudomonadati; Pseudomonadota; Alphaproteobacteria.